GCAUGAAGUCGGAAUUGCUAGUAAUCGCAGAUCAGCAUGCUGCGGUGAAUACGUUCCCGGGCCUUGUACACACCGCCCGUCACACCAUGGGAGUCGGUAACACCCGAAGCCUGUAGUCUAACCGCAAGGAGGACGCAGUCGAAGGUGGGAUUGAUGACUGGGGUGAAGUCGUAACAAGGUAAC
RNAcentral lists this ribosomal RNA (183 nucleotides) under uncultured bacterium. RNAcentral's name for it is "partial 16S ribosomal RNA". It matches the Rfam family "Bacterial small subunit ribosomal RNA", at positions 1318 to 1500 of the family's 1533-position model. The record is from RNAcentral.